GAUGAACGCUGGCGGCGUGCCUAAUACAUGCAAGUCGAGCGGCAGCACGGUCUUCGGACUGGUGGUGAGCGGCGGACGGGUGAGUAACGCGUGGGUAACCUGCCCUGUACACACGGAUAACAUACCGAAAGGUAUGCUAAUACGAGAUAAUAUACUUUUAUCGCAUGGUAGAAGUAUCAAAGCUUUUGCGGUACAGGAUGGACCCGGGUCUGAUGCGCUAGUUUGUAAGGUAACGGCUUACAAAGGCGACGAUCAGUAGCCGACCUGGGAGGGUGAUCGGCCACAUUGGAACUGAAACACGGUCCAAACUCCUACGGGAGGCAGCAGUGGGGAAUAUUGCACAAUGGGCGAAAGCCUGAUGCAGCAACGCCGCGUGAGCGAUGAAGGCCUUCGGGUCGUAAAGCUCUGUCCUCAUGGAAGAUAAUGACGGUACUUGAGGAGGAAGCCCCGGCUAACUACGUGCCAGCAGCCGCCGUAA
Molecule: ribosomal RNA, 478 nt
Filed under: uncultured bacterium
Lineage: Bacteria
Description: partial 16S ribosomal RNA
Rfam family: Bacterial small subunit ribosomal RNA
Source: RNAcentral